GAAAGAUGGCUUUGGCUAUCACUCUGGGAUGGACCUGCGGUGCAUUAGCUAGUUGGUAAGGUAACGGCUUACCAAGGCGAUGAUGCAUAGCCGAGUUGAGAGACUGAUCGGCCACAAUGGAACUGAGACACGGUCCAUACUCCUACGGGAGGCAGCAGUAGGGAAUCUUCCACAAUGGGCGCAAGCCUGAUGGAGCAACACCGCGUGAGUGAAGAAGGGUUUCGGCUCGUAAAGCUCUGUUGUUGGAGAAGAACGUGCGUGAGAGUAACUGUUCACGCAGUGACGGUAUCCAACCAGAAAGUCACGGCUAACUACGUGCCAGCAGCCGCGGUAAUACGUAGGUGGCAAGCGUUAUCCGGAUUUAUUGGGCGUAAAGCGAGCGCAGGCGGUUGCUUAGGUCUGAUGUGAAAGCCUUCGGCUUAACCGAAGAAGUGCAUCGGAAACCGGGCGACUUGAGUGCAGAAGAGGACAGUGGAACUCCAUGUGUAGCGGUGGAAUGCGUAGAUAUAUGGAAGAACACCAGUGGCGGAGGCGGCUGUCUGGUCUGCAACUGACGCUGAGGCUCGAAAGCAUGGGUAGCGAACAGGAUUAGAUACCCUGGUAGUCCAUGCCGUAAACGAUGAGUGCUAGGUGUUGGAGGGUUUCCGCCCUUCA
Molecule: ribosomal RNA, 654 nt
Filed under: uncultured bacterium
Lineage: Bacteria
Description: bacterial SSU rRNA
Rfam family: Bacterial small subunit ribosomal RNA
Source: RNAcentral